RNAcentral lists this ribosomal RNA (253 nucleotides) under uncultured bacterium. RNAcentral describes it as "partial 16S ribosomal RNA". It matches the Rfam family "Bacterial small subunit ribosomal RNA", at positions 524 to 776 of the family's 1533-position model. The record is from RNAcentral.
UACGUAGGGUGCAAGCGUUGUCCGGAAUUAUUGGGCGUAAAGAGCUCGUAGGCGGUUUGUCGCGUCGGAUGUGAAAACCUGGGGCUUAACUCCGGGCCUGCAUUCGAUACGGGCAGACUAGAGUUCGGUAGGGGAGACUGGAAUUCCUGGUGUAGCGGUGAAAUGCGCAGAUAUCAGGAGGAACACCGGUGGCGAAGGCGGGUCUCUGGGCCGAUACUGACGCUGAGGAGCGAAAGCGUGGGGAGCGAACAGG